RNAcentral lists this transfer RNA (64 nucleotides) under human gut metagenome. It matches the Rfam family "tRNA", at positions 6 to 65 of the family's 71-position model. Rfam says of the family: Transfer RNA (tRNA) molecules are approximately 80 nucleotides in length. Their secondary structure includes four short double-helical elements and three loops (D, anti-codon, and T loops). The record is from RNAcentral.
CGGUAGUUCAGCUGGUUAGAACGCUAGCCUGUCACGCUAGAGGUCGUGGGUUCGAACCCCAUCC